GCUGGGUGUGGUGGUGCCCACCUGUAAUGUCAGCAGCUUGGGAGUCUGAGGCAGGAGGAUCACAAGUUCAAAGCCAGCUUCAGCAAAAGCGAGGUGCUAAGCAACUCAGUGAGACCCUGUCUCUA
This 125-nucleotide small RNA is filed under the name Marmota monax (woodchuck). The record is from RNAcentral. Lineage: Eukaryota; Metazoa; Chordata; Mammalia; Rodentia; Sciuridae.